GCGGAAGUGGUGAAAUGGCAGACACGCCAGCCUUAGGAGCUGGUGCCUGAAAGGGCGUGAGGGUUCGAGUCCCUCCUUCCGCA
This 83-nucleotide transfer RNA is filed under the name uncultured Chloroflexota bacterium. Its description in RNAcentral is "uncultured Chloroflexi bacterium tRNA-Leu-TAG". It matches the Rfam family "tRNA". Rfam says of the family: Transfer RNA (tRNA) molecules are approximately 80 nucleotides in length. Their secondary structure includes four short double-helical elements and three loops (D, anti-codon, and T loops). The record is from RNAcentral. Lineage: Bacteria; Bacillati; Chloroflexota.